This 560-nucleotide ribosomal RNA is filed under the name uncultured bacterium. RNAcentral describes it as "bacterial SSU rRNA". It matches the Rfam family "Bacterial small subunit ribosomal RNA", at positions 61 to 632 of the family's 1533-position model. The record is from RNAcentral.
GUCGACCGAGAAAUCUACUUCGGCUGAUGGACCGCGGCGAAAGGGACAGUAAUGUGUAGGUACCUACCCUCUGAUCUGGGAUAGCUGCGGGAAACUGCAGGUAAUACCGGAUAAUGUCUUCGGACCAAAGGUGUGAUUCCGUCUGAGGAGGGGCCUGCAUCCUAUUAGCUUGUUGGUGAGGUAAUGGCUCACCAAGGCAACGAUGGGUAGCGGGUGUGAGAGCAUGACCCGCGUCAUUGGGACUGAGACACUGCCCAGACAUCUACGGAUGGCUGCAGUCGAGAAUCUUCGGCAAUGGGCGAAAGCCUGACCGAGCGACGCCGCGUGCGGGAUGAAGGCCCUCGGGUUGUAAACCGCUGUCGUUGGGGAGGAAAUGCAUGAGGGCUAUCCCUCUUGUUUGACCGAUCCAAGGAGGAAGUACGGGCUAAGUUCGUGCCAGCAGCCGCGGUAAGACGAACCGUACGAACGUUACUCGGAAUUACUGGGCUUAAAGGGUGCGUAGGCUGCACGGAAAGUUGGGUGUGAAAGCCCUCAGCUCAACUGAGGAAUUGCAUCCAAAA